ACAUUGCAAGACUAAUCCCACAAGCUUGCUGGGCUUCACCCCAACUCACUUUUAACGAUGCCGUUUGUGUGAAUUGUGUUGUCUGGUUUGACAGACAGUUCUCUGAAGAUCUUGUUGAUUGUUGUAUCAAAUUGUCCAGUUUGAUUUUUGAUGGAUUAGGGCUCGUGAUAGACUGUAUUCUUCGCAGUUGUAGAGGAGAGUAGGAGCGGAUGGAUUUGCCGAGGAAGGUGGAGAACAUGAACUCCCUUGAAGAACAACGACGCUUACUUUGGGGUUGGUGCAGAUUAAGGGUGAAGCGGGGAAGAGGAGUGUGUCGUGGCUUCUGGAACGAUGGAGGAUUGUUGCAGGAACAGGUUUUUGAUGUGUGGUUAAAUUUCGUGAGGGCAUUCGACGAAGAAGCUGGUGAUGCAGCGGCGAUUGACCCAGUAGGCCUGCCCAAGUGCCGCAGGCAGCUCAACUAAUGGUGCCAAAGUUAAGAUGGAUCUUUUCACUUACCAUCACUGGUGAUCUUUUUAUUCCGAGUAUCUUCUUACCAUCAGCAAAGGAUUCUGGGCCAUAGUUGAAUUCCUGAUGUAGUUGGCGAGCAUAGUAGCUGGAGAGAACCAUGGGGGUGACGAUAUACCUCAUUCCUUCCACGUCUUUACAGAUACUUUCAUGUUAUACAUUAUGUGAGUAUGUUGUCUUAUAGUUUUAUGACCUGUGUUGCAAGAUUUGCGCAUGGGAUAUUGAAGUAUUUCGAGGAGUUCACAUGAUGUGAAGGAAUCACUGUGGUGGCAACAACGGCAUGAAAAAGACGUAUUCUGAAGGAUUGGCCGAUGCACGGUGGUGUGAAGACGAAGAUGAUGGUUGCUCACACCCUUCGCGACACGAUGACGAGUUUUUACAAGGUCUACCGUAUGUGUAGAGUGCUCUGAGACUCCAUGGUGGGAUCCUUGAGCAUGAUUAUCUUGUGUUUAAACUGCCAUCAUCUGUGCAAACGAAACCUGGAAAUAUCGACGGCAGUCCUUGGUUCGUAUGUACGAUGCAGCGAUUCCCUUGAUUCUAUAUUUUACGAGGUUUUUCGAAGGAUGACCGAUCAGAUGUAGAAGUGUUUAUGCUACACCCUUGCAUCAAUUCCUCCUGAAACUCUAAUGUACUGUGGUCUCGAGGUGUGAACUUUACAUCCUCCUCUGGACCAGUCUACUUUUAUAGCGUGUACUGCUCUACUCAUACGGGAGUGGGGAUCGGAUCGUUUUGCUCGAUGACGUUGACAGCAUUUUAACACUAACACCUGUAUGAAGACAACUCGUGCCUCUUCCCUUAGCUACUUCGGUGUCGUGAACUCAGGUUACAAUAUCUGCAUUUGAAUACUUCAUUUCUAUGCCCCUAGUAAGGCAUAUGAUAUUCGUGGUUGACAGUCAUCAGUUGUAUUAUUCCCAGAAGAAUUUAGAUUUCUCUUUUGUCUCUUGGGCCGAAGAAUGAAAUACUUAAGAAGAUGGAAUGGUUGAUGCAAUGACGACAACAAAAAGCUCCCCUCUGUAUCAUUAACCAUUGGGGUGAGAUCGAAUGCACUUCUUUCAUGCGUCUGAACCAGAGAAUACGUAAGCUUGCCACUGGCUGGGUAUCGCUUCUUGAGGUCAUUACAGAGGAAAGGCGCAUGAAAGACUACUGUAAAUGCCGCUAGAGCUAGUGCACCAUCACAUGCAUGAGUGAAAUCGGAGGUUUCACCGAUCUUGGAACUUCAAUCUUCUGAGAUGUGUCAAUGGAUUCCAUCAUGCUGUUCGUAUUUAAAGGGUAGAAUAUUCAUGAAAAGAUGUAGACAAUCUUGGCGUUCACAACCGGUUUGCAGUUGCAGUCAAGAUAUCCACAGUAACUAUGGGAUGACUUUACAGAACUAUAUUGAGAAACUGAGUAGGUAGAGUAUUUAGUAUUUGACAUGCGGGUCAACACGCCUACUUUUCUUCACACCGGACAUUGUCUCGAACUCAACUGUAAUCUUGCAUUUCAGUGUUUUAAUUCAAAGGGUAUGGGCUCUACAAACUUUUGAGCAGGCACUGCCCCUAACUAUCGCCAUGGAA
Molecule: non-coding RNA, 2057 nt
Organism: Physcomitrium patens
Lineage: Eukaryota; Viridiplantae; Streptophyta; Bryopsida; Funariales; Funariaceae
Source: RefSeq, a predicted model, not a curated record